GACGAACGCUGGCGGCGUGCCUAAUACAUGCAAGUCGAACGCUGAAGGAAGGAGCUUGCUCUUUCUGGAUGAGUUGCGAACGGGUGAGUAACGCGUAGGUAACCUGCCUGGUAGCGGGGGAUAACUAUUGGAAACGAUAGCUAAUACCGCAUAAAAUUGAUUAUUGCAUGAUAGUCAAUUAAAAGGUGCAACUGCACCACUACCAGAUGGACCUGCGUUGUAUUAGCUAGUUGGUGGGGUAACGGCUCACCAAGGCGACGAUACAUAGCCGACCUGAGAGGGUGAUCGGCCACACUGGGACUGAGACACGGCCCAGACUCCUACGGGAGGCAGCAGUAGGGAAUCUUCGGCAAUGGACGGAAGUCUGACCGAGCAACGCCGCGUGAGUGAAGAAGGUUGUCGGAUCGUAAAGCUCUGUUGUAAGAGAAGAACGAGUGUGAGAGUGGAAAGUUCACACUGUGACGGUAGCUUACCAGAAAGGGACGGCUAACUACGCG
RNAcentral lists this ribosomal RNA (497 nucleotides) under uncultured bacterium. RNAcentral describes it as "partial 16S ribosomal RNA". It matches the Rfam family "Bacterial small subunit ribosomal RNA", at positions 28 to 507 of the family's 1533-position model. The record is from RNAcentral.